This 501-nucleotide ribosomal RNA is filed under the name uncultured bacterium. RNAcentral describes it as "bacterial SSU rRNA". It matches the Rfam family "Bacterial small subunit ribosomal RNA", at positions 903 to 1397 of the family's 1533-position model. The record is from RNAcentral.
AAAGGAAUUGACGGGGACCCGCACAAGCGGUGGAGCAUGUGGUUUAAUUCGAAGCAACGCGAAGAACCUUACCAAAACUUGACAUCCCAUUGCCAGCUUCUUAAUCGAAGCCUCUUAAGUUUACUUAAGCAAUGGUGACAGGUGGUGCAUGGUUGUCGUCAGCUCGUGUCGUGAGAUGUUGGGUUAAGUCCCGCAACGAGCGCAACCCUUAUUUUUAGUAGCCAGCAAGUAAAGUUGGGGACUCUAGAGAGACUGCCAGGGAUAACCUGGAGGAAGGUGGGGACGACGUCAAAUCAUCAUGCCCCUUAUGUUUUGGGCUACACACGUGCUACAAUGGCUGCUACAAAGGGAGGCGAGUGGGUGACCAUAAGCAAACCUCAAAAAAGCAGUCCCAGUUCGGAUUGUAGUCUGCAACUCGACUACAUGAAGUUGGAAUCGCUAGUAAUCGCGAAUCAGAAUGUCGCGGUGAAUACGUUCCCGGGUCUUGUACACACCGCCCGU